GCCAGAGUGAAAGAGUGAGAAACAAAAAUUCACCAGAAGCUCAGUCUUGAAUGGCAGCAUCUCCAGAGUUAUGGACUGAUACCACUGGCAAGAGAACAGCAUGGUAUUAGAAGACACUAGGGAGUGUAAAGAAAACAAGCAGGAACGGGAGAAGAAUAGCUCAAGAUAACCCAUUUUUCAGCAAACACUUGCGAGAGAAUGCCAGGACUAGAAAAGGCCUGAGAACCAGAAGAUCAAAAGGACUCUAGCCAUGUAAAAGGAAAUUCUCUUUCAAAAGGGGGGGGGUAGUCUUGGAGGGAGUUUUUUAGGGGGACCAGACUGACCCAGGAUGCUCCUGGGGAGUAAGGGAUGUCUGAAGAAGUUAGACUUCCCUAGUCACAGUCACAGGAUGUUAACUGAUUAUCCUCUUUCAAAAUCUUCCUCAAAACUUCCCUUUUCCAUGAUGUCUACAAAAAACUUGAUUAUGGUUAAGUUGCUGGUAUGCUGAGGCCAUUGCCAAUCAUGCUGACCAAUACUGUCUCAUUGUUUCUUUGUACUCCUUUAUCUGUCUAUAUCCACCUAUUGUCUGUUGUCUUAGAUAGUAAGCUCUUUGGACAGACGCUGUCUUUCUGGGCGGUGUUGGUACCACGUCUAGGACGAUGGGGUCGUGAUCCAGGACUAGGGAUUCUACACACUACUGUAAUACAAAUAAUUAUUACAAAUCUUUAGGUAAGAAAAAUAUGCAUCUCGUCACCAUAGACACCACUGGUCACACGCUCCUGAAGGAAAGAACUGCAUAUGCCAAACCCAGUCAGACCUGCUGGGUCAGCAGAGUUGAUAUGCAGAAUACUUGAGCCAAUGGCCCUAAGAGAAGGAGAAUUUUUUAAUUCCUCCCCAGUAGAGGUAAAGCCUUGAGGCCUGACACUGAAGGGUGCACCAGAAAGGGGACAGAGAUGUAGCUAGCCCUCAACCAUGACAGCUGUCUAAUGGAACUGUGGAUGUUCACUUUAAGUUCUUGGCCUCAGUGUCACCCAUUGACAGUAAGUUCCAAAGGUGAAGUAUAUUUUGUGUAAAAAAUCAUUUCCUAUAAUCAGUUUUAAAUUUGUUGCAUUUCAGUUUCUUUUAAUGUCCCUUUUUUUCCUAUGUUAUGAGCAGGGAUCCUAGUUUUUGGUGAUAAAAAUCCCCAAAUUCUCUGAUAAGAAACCAUAAAAAUCUGCAUUUUUUCAUGAAACAUCAAUUUCCCAUAUUCCUCUGUGUGUGUUGGUGGCACAGGGUUCUACUGUAUAUGUUUUUAUUUUUUCCACAAAAUGUAAAAACUAAAGUCUGUAAAAAUGCAAAUUUUGCAUUUUUCCAUGGCAAACAGAUUUCUAGGAUCCCUAGUUAUGAGGAGUACCUUAUUUAUCUUCUCUGUACUAGUCAUUAUUUUAUAUAUUUGUCACGUCUCCUCGUAUUCAUCUUUCACUAAACCAUACUGUCCCAGUCUUAUCACACUAGCUCCAGAUAGAAUUUUUUCCAGGUCCCUUAUAAUAUUCAUCCUCCAUCUUUGAACCUUUGCUAAGAUUUCUCUCAUUCUAAAAUAAAAUAAAAUAAAUAAAUAUGGAGAUACACCUAUCUCAUAGAACUGGAAGGGACCCUGAAAGGUCAUUGAGUCCAGCCCCCUGCCUUCACUAGCAGGACUAAGUACUGAUUUUCCCCUAGAUCCCUAAGUGACCCCCUCAAGGAUUGGUCUCACAACCCUGGGUUUAGCAGGCCAGUACUCAAACCACUGAGCUAUCCCUCUAUUUGAUUCAAAACAGAGUGGCCAAAAGCAAACACAGUAUUCCAGGCACUGUACCCUUCAAGGUGCUGAGCACUCUGGUUCCAAUCUAGCAAAGCACUCAAAUUAUGCUUAGCUUUAACCACUGACUUCAGUGGGACUCCUCACACAUUUACAGGUAAGCAGGUGCUUGAGUGCUUUGCUGCACUGGGGCCAGGGUGCUCAACACAUUACUGGCCUGAGCUCCAGGUGAGGAUUGUCCAUUGAUUUAUAUAAUGGUGUAAUAUUUCACUAUUUCCAGUCCCAUUCAUUAAAACAUUGUUUGCUUUUUUGACUGCUACUGCAUAUUGAACAGCAGACUUCCUUGCGCUGUCCACAUUGAUGCCCGUCUCCUUUUG
This is a long non-coding RNA of Gopherus flavomarginatus (Mexican gopher tortoise), 2133 nucleotides long. RefSeq lists it as uncharacterized. The transcript has 3 exons. NCBI's taxonomy places the organism in Eukaryota, Metazoa, Chordata, Testudines, Testudinidae. The record is from RefSeq and is a predicted model, not a curated record.